This is a long non-coding RNA of Sinocyclocheilus anshuiensis, 523 nucleotides long. RefSeq lists it as uncharacterized. The transcript has 3 exons. The record is from RefSeq and is a predicted model, not a curated record. NCBI's taxonomy places the organism in Eukaryota, Metazoa, Chordata, Actinopteri, Cypriniformes, Cyprinidae.
CUUCCCCCUUCAUUCUCUCGCUUCUCUCUUCUAGUAAACAGACCACAGGAUCACAGGCUGUGUUAUAUACUGCAAUGAACCCAAGGGACCUAGAUCAAACUGGAAACAUGUUACCUAUUAGAUCUCCCCUCAACUCCCCCUUUCUGUCUUCAGCAAGACUCUCCCCAUGUCUUAUCCCUCUUUCUCCUUCCCCUUCCCGUCUCUCACCAUGUCCCAUUAACUCAGGCUCUUCUCCCUCCCGCCUCUCACCUUUAUCCACUUCUCCUUCUCGUCUCAGUCCAUCUUCUCACUUUAUUUCGUCUUACUCUCCUGUUUGUCUGUCUCCCUGCCCCACAUGUGACCCAUCUACCUCACCCAUUAGAGUGUCCUCCUGUCCCGUGCCUCUUUCCCCCUCUGUUGUCUUAAAAAAGCCCAUCCACAUUUCCUCCUUCAGUCAAACCGGGCAAAGCUUGGAACAACAGAACCAGAUUGAUAGUUCUCCUCAAAGCAUCAUCAAUACAGUGGAUACAUCCCUAAAUUCACC